GAUCCUGGCUCAGGAUGAACGCUGGCUACAGGCCUAANACAUGCAAGUCGAGGGGCAGCAUGGUCUUAGCUUGCUAAGGCCGAUGGCGACCGGCGCACGGGUGAGUAACACGUAUCCAACCUGCCGUCUACUCUUGGACAGCCUUCUGAAAGGAAGAUUAAUACAAGAUGGCAUCAUGAGUCCGCAUGUUCACGUGAUUAAAGGUAUUCCGGUAGACGAUGGGG
RNAcentral lists this ribosomal RNA (224 nucleotides) under uncultured bacterium. RNAcentral describes it as "partial 16S ribosomal RNA". It matches the Rfam family "Bacterial small subunit ribosomal RNA", at positions 15 to 230 of the family's 1533-position model. The record is from RNAcentral.